This 61-nucleotide transfer RNA is filed under the name Sinomicrurus japonicus (Japanese coral snake). RNAcentral describes it as "tRNA-Pro". Lineage: Eukaryota; Metazoa; Chordata; Lepidosauria; Squamata; Elapidae. The record is from RNAcentral.
CAGAGAAUAGUUUAAUAUAAAAUUCUGGUUUUGGGGACCAGAGAUGGAUGUCCUUCUUUGA